GCGAACUCCGGGUCAGCUGCCGUGUGAAGACGGAGGGUUCAAUCGUGAUUCGGAUUCACUGGGUUUAAAGGGUGUGUAGGCGGGCUGUUAAGUCAGGGGUGAAAUCUCCGGUCUCAACCCGGAAACUGCCAUUGAUACUAUCAGUCUUGAAUUUUGUUGAGGUAGGCGGAAUAUAUCAUGUAGCGGUGAAAUGCUUAGAUAUGAUAUAGAACACCGAUUGUGAAGGCAGCUUACUAAGCAAAUAUUGACGCUGAGGCACGAAAGCGUGGGGAUCAAACAGGAUUAGAUACCCCGGUAGUC
RNAcentral lists this ribosomal RNA (300 nucleotides) under uncultured Helicobacter sp. RNAcentral describes it as "bacterial SSU rRNA". It matches the Rfam family "Bacterial small subunit ribosomal RNA", at positions 496 to 795 of the family's 1533-position model. The record is from RNAcentral. Lineage: Bacteria; Pseudomonadati; Campylobacterota; Epsilonproteobacteria; Campylobacterales; Helicobacteraceae.